GACGAACGCUGGCGGCGUGCCUAAUACAUGCAAGUCGAGCGGACGAUUCGAAAGCUUGCUUUUGAAUCGUUAGCGGCGGACGGGUGAGUAACACGUGGGCAACCUGCCUUGUAGACGGGGAUAACAUCGAGAAAUCGGUGCUAAUACCGGAUAACACUAUAUGUCGCAUGACGUUUCGUUGAAAGGCGGUGCAAGCUGCCGUUAUAGGUUGAGCCCGCGGCGCAUUAGCUAGUUGGUGAGGUAACGGCUCACCAAGGCGACGAUGCGUAGCCGACCUGAGAGGGUGAUCGGCCACACUGGAACUGAGACACGGCCCAGACUCCUACGGGAGGCAGCAGUAGGGAAUCUUCCGCAAUGGACGAAAGUCUGACGGAGCAACGCCGCGUGAGCGAUGAAGGCCUUCGGGUCGUAAAGCUCUGUUGUUAGGGAAGAACAAGUAACGUAGUAACUGACGUUACUAUGACGGUACCUAACGAGAAAGCCACGGCUAACUACGUG
This 498-nucleotide ribosomal RNA is filed under the name uncultured bacterium. RNAcentral describes it as "partial 16S ribosomal RNA". It matches the Rfam family "Bacterial small subunit ribosomal RNA", at positions 28 to 507 of the family's 1533-position model. The record is from RNAcentral.